AUGACCCGUGUAGUUCUGCCCGUUGAUAUCG
Molecule: small RNA, 31 nt
Filed under: Arabidopsis thaliana (thale cress)
Lineage: Eukaryota; Viridiplantae; Streptophyta; Magnoliopsida; Brassicales; Brassicaceae
Description: ATSL076450
Source: RNAcentral